This 1866-nucleotide long non-coding RNA is filed under the name Cyanistes caeruleus (blue tit). RNAcentral's name for it is "lncRNA (ENSCCEG00000021701.1)". Lineage: Eukaryota; Metazoa; Chordata; Aves; Passeriformes; Paridae. The record is from RNAcentral.
GUGGGCUUUUCUGUGUGUUAAUGCUGGUCAAAAGUCCCUCAGCAAUGCAAAACGCAGAGAGAUGUGUGCCCAGCAAACUGGGCACUUAGGAGAUACAGCUUCUGAAUGCUGACUCUGGUUCCAGCCAGAAAAUGCACACCAAGACAUUAGAAAGCUGUGCUUGGCAGUUCCUGAGAACCAAGGAACAAUUUUGGACCACUUUGGGCUAAAUAAGACAUUCAUGAAAACAUGAUGAUGUGAUUGAUGAUAACACCAAGAAACAAGUUUACUGGAUGUGAGUCUUUAUCAUCUUUGGAGUAAAUGUGAGACUACUGUUCAGCCUAGUCUUUCUGAUCCAGGGGAAGAAGGCAAGUGGGUGUUUGAACUAAUACUGUUCUUUAAGACACAGAAAAUAUUAUUUAGAGAAGAAACACAGAUUGACUAAUAGAAAAGAAGAAAUAACCCUCUUGUUUCCUUAGUGGUACUGGACUUAAAGUUGCAGAGGGAUAUUAAUAAAGUAUUGAAAAAUAUGCCAUAUAAAUCCUCAUAAUUUUUUGAUCAGAGCUUACUUAUUUUUUUAUAGCCUAUUUAAGUCAUAAAUUAAUAAUGACAGAUUGAUAUAACCCAUCCAUGUAUACAUACAGACCUUUUUACCCAGUCAACAGAAAGGCUACAGAGAACUUGAGCAGUAUCAAGAGAGAUGGAUGCCUUCACAGAAGACAUACAGGGAACUGGCUAUCUUUGGAGCAGAUUUAGAUUUAUCCAUUGUUUCUUUUCUGAAGACCACCUGUAUGACACUACUACCAACAUUUAACAUCUUCACAAGAAAAAUUCAUUUCAGAAGUUGUGUCUUCUGCACUAAGCCAAGAUGUUUCACCUGGGUGUGAAAGUCAGUGGGUUGGAUACUGAGCUCAAGAAGCAAAUGUCACCUGAAAAGUGCAUGUCUACUGUUCCUAUCAAAAGAAUAUAUACCUGGUCUGAUCUAUUGCUUACAAUGUUCCAGGUCUUGAAAUUCAGUCUAAGGCAGACCAUCUGCUAAAUAUUAUAAAGUGAUUGCUAUAUGGACUACAUUUCAACUCUAUGGUAUCAAAAUGACAGUUUUUAUUUUGGCUAUUCUCCAAGCCUUUCCAAUAUGCCUUCCAUUUCCUUUGCCUCCUACCAGUUACAUAGGCCAUCUGUUUUCCCAGUGAAAGUUAAAGAGCCAAUAUAUGAAAAGCACAAGCUCCUUUUAAAAUAACUUUCCCACUGUUUUGUAUUCAUGUAAUUUCAUAAUGAUCAGACUCUGUUUCUUGUUGCUCUUCCUUAGUGCAGGCGAGAUUUGUUAGCUUUCGAGGGUGUUGUUGUUAAGUAAAUGUUGUUUGAGGUUUUCCCUUCAAGUGAAGCUCUCUGAGAAGACAUCAGUUGGAACAAUCUGGCGUUCUUUCAUGAAGAUUUUCUCUCUGGUUUGAAAGUGACAUAUGUGUAGGAUGAAAAUUACAUAUUUCUUCAAGAGUAUAUGUUAUUUUCGGCUAUUGUGAUCUGUACAUUCUGUUCAUGUUCUAUAAAAGAUGAAUGUAAAAGCCUUUUCUUUCUUUUUUUGAAGUUCUUGGAGAAAGUCUGCACUAUUCACUCUGAUACUACAGAAAGAAAUUCUGUCCCAGAAAUGUAUUAAAAAGUAACAUGGAACAGAUUCUGUUGUGCAAGAGAAAUAAUAGAUACAUCCCAGCUGGGUUCUCGUACUCUCUUUAUUUUCAUUUACUUUCAUCCGAUCAAUUCUUUGCAGUUCUGUCUGGUUGCUGAUAUGGUACAUCAGGGAAAUUACAGCUGAUUUCUAAAACCUAUUUCACGGAAAGCACUGAAGGAAACUAAAGACUCAGCACAGAAGUGACAGAAAGAAAUAGCUUUCCU